UUCCCAUUAUCUCCGUCACGCUGGUCGAUCUGUUGCGUGUCGGCCCGGCCUGACUUGGCGCCAGGCACAUUUUCGACCAGGGUGGCUCACACAGUUACUAAAGCCGUCGGCAUUAGACACUACCAUUGCCGACGUGUUCCGUACCACAGAUGACACGCAUCCGCGUAAGGAUCGUUCAAAUAUUCAACAGACUGUCGUUCUUGAUCGGGAUGCUAGCAUAGUGCCGUGUAGAUGUGUGAUGUGCAUUGAAGUGGCCAUUAUUGUGGCGUUUACAAUGUGAAAGUGUUCUUGGGCGAUUGGCCUUACGAUUCGCAUUUGCAACAAACAAAUGCUGCUUCUGACGUCUGACUAAAUGCCAGUGAUGAUGUUGAUGAUGAGCUGUUUGCAGUUGGAAGUGAAAGUGUCCGUUGGCUUGUAGAUCUUGGCGGAGGGCAGUUGCUUUGCUGUAGGAGCAAUUAUUUCACUACGAACUCAUCAUUAUCCGAAUCAUCAUUUGCUUAAGAAGCAGCCGUCGCAAGAUCGGUGGCAAUUCUUACUUCUUUUCCACGCACCAAUUAAAGCAGCCAAGCAACAGGAGCGUAACGCUGGGAGCGAAUCCCCUGGGAAGCAUCGGCAUUUGACAGCAUUUCUUGCUGCAAUUUGGGUUUGAUAACGAAAUUGAUCUUGUUUUUUUUUAAUAAACAUAAUUACAUAUUACAUACCAACUGACAAAAGUGUGACAAAAUGUGACAACAAUCGUGAAUUUUAAUGCCUAAUUACACACGAAAGGAUUUGCACCAGUUCAUUCGAUAUUGCAAUUAACUUGGUGAAUCUUUUCCGUUUUAUGUCGAUCAAAUUGCAUGGUGAAUUAAAAUCUCUUCUCGGUUUUUGAUUCUUUUCUAUCAGCGAGGAUUACCAUCACCAUCAGCGAUGCACGUACUGUCCAACAGAGACCGUACCGAUCGCCUGUCCACCGGACUGUUUCUGCAAACAUCCUCCCGAUGACGGUCGGGAUCAUAUCUAAAUACUGCAAGCAACCUAUUGCAAACCUAUUGCAACGUGCAAUUCACACGCAAACUUCACUCACAGAAAUAAAAGCAAUUUUAAUAUAGUCCAGGGGGUAAUGUAUCGACAUUACACAGCUACGAUAUGGCAGGAGGUUUGUAAGACAGUAAAUGGCUACCCUUUUCGAGCACACAAAGGAUCGCUUGUUGCGAUGUUUUGCUUUUAAGUUUUUGCUAUCUUUUUGGUGCAUAGUUGAUCAGUUUAGGUCACAAUACUCGUCGGUGUAAACUACUUUGUCGUACAGCUUUAUUCUAGCAUCCAGGAGCAGAAUUAGGUAUUAGCAAACCGGUAGUUCUUCCCUUUAAAUGGUAAUCUUACAGCAGUCUUGCAUAUGAAUAGAGCCCAGUAAGCUUUCGUUUUUGCAAUCAAGCUCGUCAAUCCAGUGUAACUGAUUACUCAGCUCUAAAUCGAGUUCUAAUAGUUCGGUGCAGUAAAGUGUAUCAGCAAAUAUUAUCGUCAAGUAACAACAGUGAAAUAACAGCGAAAUAAACAUAAAAACAAUCUCAUCCACAUUUCAA
Molecule: long non-coding RNA, 1562 nt
Organism: Anopheles arabiensis
Lineage: Eukaryota; Metazoa; Arthropoda; Insecta; Diptera; Culicidae
Exons: 3
Source: RefSeq, a predicted model, not a curated record